Long non-coding RNA from Astatotilapia calliptera (eastern happy), 2878 nucleotides. The record is from Ensembl. NCBI's taxonomy places the organism in Eukaryota, Metazoa, Chordata, Actinopteri, Cichliformes, Cichlidae.
GUAAUUUACUAAGAAAUUUAGAGUUUGCUUACUGAAACUGUUGUCACGGUCCGGGUGCGCUGCUGGUAAAUUACCACUGAGUUCUAUAUUCUUCGAUGUCCGCCUCUGGGCGGAGCUGUGACCUCCUCACCUGUCCAACUCACCUGGAGCUAAUCUGGGGCAAUCUACUGAGGGUAUUCAAGACCAGUUUUGCUGUCUCUUCGUCAGCUUACCCGGCUCUCUGGUUCCGCCACUCGGACACCGGAUCACACUCACUGGAUUAGUCGCCCAGCUUCACGCUCCCUCUCCCGGCAAAGAUUUUCAAUAGCGAUGGCCAAAUGAAGCUAUCUGAAGCAUUAGAACUUAUGUUGAAAACCUGUUCAUUACUUGAAGCUUUUCACACACAGUCGUGUUUGGUGACAUCUGUUGGCCAAAAAUAUGAAGAGCCGCUGGAAUCUACAGCAAUAAUGAACUGCUUUCUUAUUGAUUGCCUACAUUACAGAGCUGACAGCUUCUGUUUGAUAUCAUGCGAUAUCCAAAUUAUGUUAUGUCUAUUCUAAUAAUAACUAAUUUUGUAUAAUAUGCUAUAACUUCUAUAAUUAUAACUAUAUGUAUCGUCAGUAGCGGUUUUUGAUACGGGCGACACGGGCGGUUGCCCGGGGCGGCAUCAUGGUGGGGGGCGGCAUCACGGGCAUCGGCAAAAAAAAAAAAAAAAAAAAAAAAGAUUACCCGCACUCAUGCUGCCCCGAUAUCAUGCCAGCGCAUAUCGGGAAUGUCGAAGACACCGAUUGGGUUUCCAUCAACCAUUUGCUGGGAGUAAGGGCGCCCUCGGUUUGCGAGGUGCGCCUGCUGCUUGCUGCACAGGGAGGAGAAGGCGGGGCGGCGGGGGAUUCUCUGGCUGGCUGGAGCAGCAUCUAAUAACCAACUCGCAAAAUAAAACAAAAUAAAAACAAACCAACAAACAUGAAAACACCAGACAUUAUGAUGCAGGCUUAUAAUUUGCACCGAUGUUUUUGGUUUUUUUUUUUCAAAAUUCUAUACGCAAAAAGUGAGCGCGGUGCGCCUGCUCGCUGCUGAAGUCAAAGUAAACUUUGUUAUCUCUGCUCAACCCGUUCGCUCUGCAACUGCUACAUACAGUUCAGUGUAUGGAGAGACGAGACGACGUGGCUCCAGUUACAGCAGUGCAAGUAAACAAACAAUAAAUAUGAGAAGAGUAAGAAAAUAAAUAUACACUUUAGGACCAGGGGUAAAGGGAUCAAUAACAAUUUAAAAUUUAUAAUUUACAGUUUGAUGAUUUAAAGCAAGGGCGUAGAUUUGGCAUGGACGGAAGGGACAUGUCCCCACCAAUAAUUUGAUCUCUUCGAGUAAAGAAAAACAAACCGGAUAAAAAGAAAAAGAAAAAAAAACACGAUCUGUCAACGUUUCAUUCACCCAGCGGUGCAGAAAGACUUAAAUUACGAUCUCUACUGGAGUCCUACCUCAUGUGACAAAUAUGGCCAAUGUGAUUGGCUGUGCCUUUCAGGGAGCUCUGUUUAGUUUUAGCAGCUGCAAGCCUGCGCUGCGAGGACCUGCAAGGAGGAGAGGAGGAUGACAGCAAAAACGAAGAACCUGGAUAUAAGAAAGUAUUUUUCAAAGAAACCUGUAAGUCACUUAAAGUCAAGUUCACUCAUAAAAUGUGUCCGUCAUAAUAACGUUACAGGCUAUGCUAGGCUUUGGCCCACAUCAGUCUAAAAUUGUAUGUAACAAUGAAUAACGUGUUUUGGAAACUAACUGCACAACAGUUAGUUUCCAAUCCAAGCUCAUAAAUCCAAGUUCUCUCAGUCUCCCAGAGUAGCAUUUCUAAUUUUGAUUGAAACUGUCAGAGAAAACGGCAGCCUCGAGCAAGCCAGGAUAUUAGUUUACAGAGGCUGUUAAAAUUAUAUGCCUAACGUUAAAAUGUAAAAUGCUUAAAGGUAAAAUGCUGUAUGCCAUGUCCACCACGAGAGACUGGACAGUAUAGAUGUAAAACCAAUAUGCCAGCAGUUUAUCUCAGUUAACGAGAGGAGAAGGCAUGUGUUUGGCUCCUUCACAUAGUGGACGUUUGAGACUUGUGUCAAGCCAGCCUCCAAUUCGAGACUUGCAGUCAAGCCAGCCUCCAGUUGAUUUUACGUUCCCUGUGUAUUCAAAGUAUUACGGGAAUGGAUGUGGAAACCGGAUUUCAAAAUAAAAGCCAACUUCGAGUGAAUUAACAGAUAUGUUAAGAACAUAAUAACAUAUAAUUUAGGCUUUUUUUUUUUUUUUUAGAAACUCUAAUGUUACAUCUACAUGACACAGCCUUGUACCCUAAUUGUGCCCUGUCAAGGCCAUCUUAUUUUGGAUUUCAAAGUAAAAGCCCUGUGAAUCUUCAUUUUUGAACUACUCUUUCAAUGAAUUCAUAAUGCUCUUAAAAGCAAAAGUCGUAUUUCCAAAUACUAUUUGAACUUUGCAUCAACACUUUCCAACCGCAGUCUUUUUCACAGUAAUACCAUAUCAAAUAAAUUCUUUCUGAUUUUGCUUUUCAUAGUAAUGGCCCUUUGAAAUUGCCGAUAUUUGACUUAAUCUCCUAACGAUUCAAAAUGCUCUAAAAUGAAAAAUUCCUGUUUCCACAGGGUAAUUCCACUUUAGAUCAACAGUAUACAACCCCGCAGUGAUACCAUAUCAAUAUCAAGUCAUUCUGAUUUUGCUUUCAAAAAUAAAAGCCUUUUCAAAUUGUCCAUAAUUGACCUACCUUUCAGUGAUUUCAAAAUGCUCUAAAAUGGAAAAUUCCUGUUUCCACAGGGUAAUUCCACUUUAGAUCAACAGUAUACAACCUCACGAUGUUACCAUAUCAAUAUCAAGACAUUCUGAUUUUGCUUUCAAAAAUAAAAGCCCUUUCAAAUUG